GAGCCUGUAGCUCAGUUGGUAGAGCACGAGACUUUUAAUCUUGGGGUCGUGGGUUCGAGUCCCACCGGGCUCACCA
This 76-nucleotide transfer RNA is filed under the name Pseudomonadota bacterium. Its description in RNAcentral is "tRNA-Lys". It matches the Rfam family "tRNA". Rfam says of the family: Transfer RNA (tRNA) molecules are approximately 80 nucleotides in length. Their secondary structure includes four short double-helical elements and three loops (D, anti-codon, and T loops). Lineage: Bacteria; Pseudomonadati; Pseudomonadota. The record is from RNAcentral.